GCCGAGGUGGCGGAACUGGCAGACGCGCUAGCUUGAGGGGCUAGUGGUCUAAUAGACCGUGCGGGUUCAAAUCCCGCCCUCGGCACCA
Molecule: transfer RNA, 88 nt
Filed under: Halocella sp. SP3-1
Lineage: Bacteria; Bacillati; Bacillota; Clostridia; Halanaerobiales; Halanaerobiaceae
Also listed under: 1 other name
Description: tRNA-Leu
Rfam family: tRNA
About the family: Transfer RNA (tRNA) molecules are approximately 80 nucleotides in length. Their secondary structure includes four short double-helical elements and three loops (D, anti-codon, and T loops).
Source: RNAcentral